Molecule: ribosomal RNA, 468 nt
Filed under: uncultured bacterium
Lineage: Bacteria
Description: partial 16S ribosomal RNA
Rfam family: Bacterial small subunit ribosomal RNA
Source: RNAcentral
GACGAACGCUGGCGGCGUGCUUAACACAUGCAAGUCGAACGGAAAGGCCCUGCUUUUGUGGGGUGCUCGAGUGGCGAACGGGUGAGUAACACGUGAGUAACCUGCCCUUGACUUUGGGAUAACUUCAGGAAACUGGGGCUAAUACCGGAUAGGAGCUCCUGCUGCAUGGUGGGGGUUGGAAAGUUUCGGCGGUUGGGGAUGGACUCGCGGCUUAUCAGCUAGUUGGUGGGGUAGUGGCUUACCAAGGCUUUGACGGGUAGCCGGCCUGAGAGGGUGACCGGCCACAUUGGGACUGAGAUACGGCCCAGACUCUUACGGGAGGCAGCAGUGGGGAAUAUUGCACAAUGGGCGGAAGCCUGAUGCAGCAACGCCGCGUGCGGGAUGACGGCCUUCGGGUUGUAAACCGCUUUCGCCUGUGACGAAGCGUGAGUGACGGUAAUGGGUAAAGAAGCACCGGCUAACUACGUG